CAUAUACUUAUCUUUAAAAUCUGAUAAUGAGUCACUGUAAAAAAAAAGUAGUGGUUGACAGAACUCAGAUUUUCUAGGCAACGUGAUGCAUUUGGUUUUUUGAGUUGUCUUAACUUAAAUUCACCGUAGUUGAGUGUACUAAGAUUUGAGUUCUGCCAACUCAAGUUUUUGAAGUGUUGCAUACAGUUCUACUUUGAGUCCGUCUUCAUAGACGGUAAGUAUCGCAACGUGCACUCCUUCAACCACCUCUUCCUCAGGGUCUGUGUUCUGAGGGGAAAAAAACAGGUAAGUAUCGCAACUUGCACUCCUUCAACCACCUCUUCCUCAGGGUCUGUGUUCUGAGGGGAAAAAAACAGACACAGCGAAAUCUUCAGCGAUACCGACAUCCCCCCCUAAUAAUUGGCACAUUUAGGCACAAGACUACGAGCCAAUAAUUAUCCAGCUUCUGGGGAGAUAUGAAUGAGGCACUGCAAAUCUAAUAAUCACCCCAAAUUGCCUUGGAC
This is a long non-coding RNA of Clupea harengus (Atlantic herring), 503 nucleotides long. Lineage: Eukaryota; Metazoa; Chordata; Actinopteri; Clupeiformes; Clupeidae. The record is from Ensembl.